This 1112-nucleotide long non-coding RNA is filed under the name Chrysolophus pictus (golden pheasant). RNAcentral describes it as "lncRNA (ENSCPIG00010012897.1)". Lineage: Eukaryota; Metazoa; Chordata; Aves; Galliformes; Phasianidae. The record is from RNAcentral.
AGGUGGGCCGGGGUGAUUGUUGUGUUUUAAUGCUAGAUGAUAAGAAUCAGAGUCAUACCUGCUCAUUCUUGCUCGGCGAUUACAAACACGGAGCAUUUCAAGUGGACACAAAUUUCGGGUGAUGUUGUUCCAGUGACUACCUCCAACACCUGUAAGACAGGCAUUAUGGUAAUGAUGCCUGCCCUUGCUGUCACUUGUACUCAUUCACAUGGUUUCUCACGCAGCAGGCGAAUCCUGUUACCUCUGACCCGCAGGUGGGAAAUGCACCAUGGCCCAGUCCCAGCAUCCCUCCUCCAGUCUUUCCACUGCUGGGAUCAGACCACUUUUCAGCUGGAAGAUGCACAGUGACAGGGUGACCCCCGUUGGUGUACGGAAAUGGAGCAAUUCAUGAGUAAUGGACCGUUUCCUGACAUGCAUAUGCUGCAGCCCAUCUUUUGUUCUCGGAUCUUCAGGGACUAUCUCUUAUCAUAGGUCUUUCCCCCCAUGGAGAAAUGCUUGGAGAUUGCUUUAGGUAACACAGCAGUGGGUAACUGUCAAAGCCAACUUAAAUUAAAGAAUCUUUUCAGCAGUUCCGAGUAUGCCAUUAGUGGUCAACUGCAGGGGUAAAUGAUUUAAUUCACUUUCAAAGAGCUUUAAGCUUAGAAAUGUUUGGGUUUCAGACCUAUCUCACAAAUAGGGACCACUACCUUGUUGUCAUGAGCACCCGAAACUCCCAUUGGAAACCAUGGGGCUCUGUUUUAUGAUCAAUGGUCUUUGCAGGAAAUACCACUUUGAGGACUGAAUUCAUGACCUAACAGAGAAGGCCAAACCCUUGCUGUUGCCUUAUCUUUCAGGGGAUGUCCACCUUUCCUACACUAACAGAUGGCACAGCAACAACAGCUCUCUGGAGAGGUUUUGUGGAUGCACAGUUCACAGUGAGCAUAAAACUGUAAAACCAGACCAAAAACUUUCAUUACCCAGCGAUGCAAGUCACAACAGCAGGGUUAAAUCUGUUUCUAUUUAGACAAUAUCUGGAACAGCGUUUUAUUAUACAGCCUGUAAAGCACUGCCUGUGCAUGGGUGGAAAGUACAUUGUCUCCUUAAAUAAAGAACUGGGGCAGGAUUGUUUGGCA